GACGAACGCUGGCGGCGUGCUUAACACAUGCAAGUCGAGCGGUAAGGCCCUUUCGGGGGUACGACGAGCGGCGAACGGGUGAGUAACACGUGGGUGACCUGCCCUCAGCUCUGGGAUAAGCCUGGGAAACCGGGUCUAAUACCGGAUAUGACUCCAUGACGCAUGUUGUGGGGUGGAAAGCCUUGUGCGGCUGAGGAUGGGCCCGCGGCCUAUCAGCUUGUUGGUGGGGUGAUGGCCUACCAAGGCGACGACGGGUAGCCGGCCUGAGAGGGCGACCGGCCACACUGGGACUGAGACACGGCCCAGACUCCUACGGGAGGGCAGCAGUGGGGAAUCUUGCGCAAUGGGCGAAAGCCUGACGCAGCGACGCCGCGUGAGGGAUGACGGCCUCGGUU
Molecule: ribosomal RNA, 395 nt
Filed under: uncultured bacterium
Lineage: Bacteria
Description: bacterial SSU rRNA
Rfam family: Bacterial small subunit ribosomal RNA
Source: RNAcentral